This 2404-nucleotide small RNA is filed under the name Pongo abelii (Sumatran orangutan). RNAcentral describes it as "retained intron". The record is from RNAcentral. Lineage: Eukaryota; Metazoa; Chordata; Mammalia; Primates; Hominidae.
AUAGCCCUGCUGUAACUUUACACUAGCAAACAAAUUCUAAACUAAUGGAACCAUCUCUAGUUAUAAUGAAAAAUUACUAGGGUUCAUUUUAGUGUUAAAAUUCCAACUGUAAUUAACGUUUGCUUUGUUUAACAAAUGCUUAAAAAAAAAAAAGGUAAAGAAAUACUUUAGUUAGUUAAAUUAUGUUGUGGCCAGGAUGUACAGCUUUGCCCAGAUCCUGGCUGGAAUUCCAAGGAACCAUGUUGAUCAGAAACGGCCCCCAAGGGUGCUUCCUGCCGUGUUCCCAUUCAUUACCAUUUCAUUGUCAGUGUUUGGUAAUAUUAAUUAGAGUCUUCGUAUAUCUCUGGAAGAAUUCAUAAUUAAGAAGGAAAUGUUUACUUUCUAACUCACUCACUUGAAAAACAAAGGAGGAAUAAUGUAUAACCACUGAAAGCCAGUCAGGGAUUUUUUAAAGUACAUUUGAAACUAUCCUGACUUCAAGCAGCAUAAACUUGAAGAGCAGGAAUAAAUUUCCCUCACAAUGCAGUUUCUUCGUUUAGAGAAAGCAUAAAUUAUAUAAGAAAGAAGCAAAAGGCUUUAGAAGCUCAUAAGAAAUUAUAGGUAUUUCUAAAAUAAGGUGUAACAGAAAUAAAAGAAGCAAGCUAGGACCUGCCAUGUAAGAUGGUUAAGAAGAACAGGGGUCCCAUUAGAAAAUAGUUGUUCUCAAUCCCAAGAAAUGAUACAGAAGUAAAUUUGAAAUUUCUUUUGUAGAUUUAGAAAAAUUGAACAUUUGAAAAAAUAGGAAGUAGAAAGCACAGGGCAAAAACCUUCAGAUAUCCAUGAGAAAUGAGCACAUUUUAUCCACAGAAAUAAAAUGUUCAUGCUAUUGUUCACUACUGAAAUGAUGUUCCAGUUGGGCCAGUUGAACAUAGUUGUUUUUGAUAGUGAAAGGCCAAUAAUAAAAAUUUGCAUCUGAAUUACGUUUAGGUAAAAUAGAUGAAUUCUAGAAGGGUAAAGAAAAAUAAUAAAAAGUAGAGUUUGCCACUUUUAAAAAUAUCCUGUCUCAUGUAGCAAGCAUUUGUUGUUGUGAUUGUCUCUUGAAAUGCUUUCUGAAAGAGUACAUGAUUCACCCUGAUAGUGAAAACCUUUUGUAUAUUUGGGUUAUCUAAACUGAGGUGAAAUAGAAGGAUGUGAUGGUUUGAAAUUCUUUAGGACUGAGUGGAUAUUUGGACCAUUGGAAGAAAAGCUCAGAGUCUACUGUAAGAUUAAUAUGUAAGAAUCCCAAAACCUUUUAGGGAAGGAAAAUGCAGUUAAGUGCUAGAAGCAGGGUUCCUGAUCUAUUUGAAUCCAGCCAAAGAAUCCUCAGAAAUUUGUAAUUGAUUUGCUCAAGUAUGAAAUGUAGAUCUGAGUUGGCAGACUUUCCUUAAAGGGCCAAGUGGUAAAUAUUUUUGGCUUUGUAGGACAUUGGUCUCUGUCACAAGUACUUUCAAAAACAGGUGGCAAGCUGCAUUGGCUCACAGGCCAAAGUUUGCUGACCCCUGAUCUACAUUGUUUUUCCUUCUAAAUAUUACCUGAUUAUCUUAGCUUCUUGGCAAACAUGCUAGGCCGGAUGGAGCAGAGGUUUCUGUUACAUAUAGUAGUCUCUUAUUAAUGAAUCAAUCCAAGAACACGUUAGAGAAUCUGAAGUCAACACAUACAGAUUUCAUGUUUUAACUUUAUAAUUUAUAUUUCUUGUCAGAGUUCUCCCAACUUGCUGUAAAUAUUUUCGCUUUUGAAAGUUCCAACAAAGACUGUGAAGUAAGACAGAUUCAAAAUCAUGUCUUCAUUUCUUGUAUUUAACAGGUACUACCAAACUUUACUUUUAAUACCAUCACUAAUUGGAAAGCAAAUCCUUGCAUAUCGUAGGGCUUAAUUUUUUAUUGGAGGAAUAAUAACAUGCAGACUGAUGCAGUUUGAAACAUUUUUUUCCCAUGUGUGUGUCUAUGUUUGUGUCAGUCCCUGUGUCUACAUGUGUGUACGUCUGUGUGUGGGCGGGUGUGUGUUUUUCUGUACACCUGGGGGGAGAGGUAUCUGUAAAGUCAGUUCUCUUCUCUCCUAUAGGGUGGAUAUGCAGCCUACAGAUAUGCACAGCCUGCUACUGCAACCGCAGCCACUGCUGCUGCAGCCGCUGCAGCCGCUUACAGCGACGGUUAUGGCAGGGUGUACACAGCUGACCCCUACCACGCCCUUGCCCCUGCCGCUAGCUAUGGAGUUGGCGCUGUGGCGAGUUUAUACCGAGGUGGCUACAGCCGAUUUGCCCCCUACUGAAGUGACGUGAGACCCCUGCAAAUGGGACAGCCCCCCAGUUCAUGAGGCCUGGCUAUUGCAAUAUUUACUAGUAGAGGAACUCUAUAGCAAGAUGAAGAGGAAAAACAAACAAACAAAC